RNAcentral lists this long non-coding RNA (2412 nucleotides) under Erythranthe guttata (spotted monkey flower). RNAcentral's name for it is "long non-coding RNA (EGUT_LNC002688)". Lineage: Eukaryota; Viridiplantae; Streptophyta; Magnoliopsida; Lamiales; Phrymaceae. The record is from RNAcentral.
CGGAUCACCACCACCAACUCCGGGGAUCGAAACACCGUUUCCAUUUGGGGCACCUGUGAUGGGGUCGUAGUUGAAGUUGAAGUGGGACCCUUUUGGAGGUAACAUCACUCGGCCGAUGCCUGGAAUCAACACUGAUCGAUCGAAAUGUCCAAACCACUCGGGCUGCAGCUUGGCAUCGGCCGGGAUGUUUCGUGCUUCAACGGUAGCAUGAUGUACUACUAGAUAGAUUGACAAGAAGACAACAAAACCGAGAAAUGCUCGGCUAUGGAAAGCCAUAUCGACUUAGAUUAAUGUGGAGGCAAAGAUAAGGAGAAUGUAUUACGGAGAUUGAUGAUGAUCAGUUGCUUGGUGAUAGUGGAAAUGUGUGAAGGGUUUUUUAUACUUGAAUUUUUGUGACAGUGUUUUGGCGGUGAGUUAAUAGAUUGUGUGAUGUAGAGAGUAUUUAUUUGCAGGAGUACGUUGGUUUUGCAUGCUGAAACAUAGUGGUUGCACAUUUAAGGGAGAAUAAUUAAUGAACCUUUUUCACAAACCAAGAAUGAACGGCUAAUCAAUUCUUUAUAUUCUUCCUAGGGUUAAUAUGCUAGAGGUCCCUAGUUGGAUCUGACAAUUUUGAGAUUCGAUAAGCACUUGAAGCAAAUUUUUUACUUCAAAUAUCUCAAGAUCCGAAUGGUCCUGCGAUGGGCAGUUUUCAGUUGACGAGUUGAACACGAAAGACUAAUUAUUUUUCUGAGAAAUGGUUUGCGAGUUAUUCAUACAGAGUCUAAAAUGUAGGAUCACUAAAAAAUCGGGUAAUUCAACAAGAACUUGUGUUUAUGUGACGGUAAUUCUGUAUUUUUUUUAUCCUAUUCCUUACGAUAUACCUUCGUGAUCUGAGAGUAUGCCUACACUAGUCUAUUUACAACUAUUACAUGAAAUGACUCUGUUUGUACACAAAUGCAACCGAAUUGGAGAAAGUGGAUUAUUACGGAACGAGCAAUUUUGCACUUUGAGACUUUCUUGGCUUAUUGUGAUAAGCAGCUGACGUUAAUUCCAUUUAUACUUAUAAUUCGUUAAUUCCAUUUGUGAUAAGCGUCUUAUUUAAAAGCCAGCUACUUAUCUUUAGCAUAGCGCUCUGCUGAAACUACACUGCUCUGUCUUUUAAUCUGCUAUCUGUUAACUAACCUUCGGUUUUGUUUUCCUUGCCAUAUAUUUGCAGGAUAGCUAUUUGUUACAUGGGUGGGCAUUCGAUCUUGGCUCAAGUACUUAAACAGUGCUUCACAGGCAUGCCGUUAAUUUUUCGUUAUUUUGGAUAAUGGCAUGCUCAAAGCGAACUCUUGCAUUUAUUUUUGUGUAGAAUGAAUCAUUUUUGACAAAAUAUUGUACUGUUUUACUUUUUUUUUUUUUUGUAAAGUUUUGACUUGAAUCUACAAACAUGCACUGCUCCAUCCAGUAUCUAUAUAUUUUUAUUCAUCUAUUAGAUAAACUGUACUAUACUAGAUACUAAACUGCAAUUCAUGUUAAAAAAAGUCGGUGUACAGAGUACAAUUCUCCUUUUUUUUGUAUAGGUAUGACCCGAUUUAUUGUGUACUUGCAAAAGAAAUAACAUAUACAUACAGUCGAUCAAAAACUAAUGUAGCAAGCAUACUUGAAACAUGAAACACUAAGUUUUAAAGGAUGCAAAAAAGCUAGAUUCUCUUUAUUGAUAGCGAACACAGUACAACUAGAAUAUAUAGCAAAUACUGAAACAUACAUACAAUCUCAAAGACUGAAAAUAAAGCACACAAUUUCAACCAUAGUUACUUAAUUAUUUUACUUGAAAAAAAAAAUCCAGCUAAUUAAUAAGAUAAGUCAUUAAUGGCCAGAUGGUGUAGGAACCCUGCUGCCAGUGCCACCACUAGGGUUUGGCACCUCCACUCCGGGGUUGGGCAAAAGCGUGUCGUCACCGCCAGGAACAUAGUUGCGGGGGCUUCCGCUCCCUGCCGGAUCACCACCACCAACUCUGGGGAUGGAAACACCGUUGCCAUUUGGGGAACCGGUAAUGGGGUUGUAGUUGAAGUUGAGGUGGGACCCUUUUGGAGGUAACAUCACUCGGCCGAUGCCUGGGAUCAACACUGAUCGAUCGUAAUGUCCGAACCACUCGGGCUCCAGCUUGGCAUCGGCCGGGAUAUUUCGUGCUCCGACACUAGUAUGAACUACUAGUGCAAGAGAGACGGACAAGAAGACCAUAAGACUGAGAAAUGCUCGGCUGUGGGAAGCCAUAUAUAUUGCCUUAAUUAGAUUAAUGUAUUGGAGGCAAAGAAAAGGAGAGUGUAUUAGGGAGAUUGAUGAUUAGUUGCUUGGUGAUGGUGGAAAUGUAUGAAGGAUUUUGAGGGUUUUUUAUACUUGAAUUUUUGUGACUGUGUUUUGGCGGUGAGUUAAUGGAUUUUGUGAUCU